RNAcentral lists this ribosomal RNA (432 nucleotides) under uncultured bacterium. RNAcentral describes it as "bacterial SSU rRNA". It matches the Rfam family "Bacterial small subunit ribosomal RNA", at positions 338 to 761 of the family's 1533-position model. The record is from RNAcentral.
CCUACGGGAGGCAGCAGUGGGGAAUUUUGGACAAUGGGCGAAAGCCUGAUCCAGCAAUGCCGCGUGUGUGAAGAAGGCCUUCGGGUUGUAAAGCACUUUUGUCCGGAAAGAAAUGGCUCUGGUUAAUACCUGGGGUCGAUGACGGUACCGGAAGAAUAAGGACCGGCUAACUACGUGCCAGCAGCCGCGGUAAUACGUAGGGUGAAAGCGUUAAUCGGAAUUACUGGGCGUAAAGCGUGCGCAGGCGGUUGUGCAAGACCGAUGUGAAAUCCCCGAGCUUAACUUGGGAAUUGCAUUGGUGACUGCACGGCUAGAGUGUGUCAGAGGGGGGUAGAAUUCCACGUGUAGCAGUGAAAUGCGUAGAGAUGUGGAGGAAUACCGAUGGCGAAGGCAGCCCCCUGGGAUAACACUGACGCUCAUGCACCGAAAGGC